CAGCCGCCGCGGGAAUACGUAGGUGGCAAGCGUUGUCCGGAAUUAUUGGGCGUAAAGGGCUCGCAGGCGGUUUCUUAAGUCUGAUGUGAAGGCCCCCGGCUCAACCGGGGAGGGUCAUUGGAAACUGGGAAACUUGAGUGCAGAAGAGGAGAGUGGAAUUCCACGUGUAGCGGUGAAAUGCGUAGAGAUGUGGAGGAACACCAGCGGCGAAGGCGACUCUCUGGUCUGUAACUGACGCUGAGGAGCGAAAGCGUGGGGAGCGAACAGGAUUAGAUACCCGUGUAGUCCCUGACUCUUAUAU
This 301-nucleotide ribosomal RNA is filed under the name uncultured bacterium. RNAcentral describes it as "partial 16S ribosomal RNA". It matches the Rfam family "Bacterial small subunit ribosomal RNA", at positions 509 to 809 of the family's 1533-position model. The record is from RNAcentral.